Molecule: ribosomal RNA, 474 nt
Filed under: uncultured bacterium
Lineage: Bacteria
Description: bacterial SSU rRNA
Rfam family: Bacterial small subunit ribosomal RNA
Source: RNAcentral
UGAACGCUAGCGGGAGGCCUAACACAUGCAAGCCGAGCGGUAGAGUUCCUUCGGGAACUUGAGAGCGGCGUACGGGUGAGGAACACGUGUGCAACCUGCCUUUAUCUGGGAGAUAGCCCUCCGAAAGGGGGAUUAAUAUUCCAUAAUAUAUCAAUUGGCAUCAAUUGAUAUUGAAAGCUCCGGCGGAUAGAGAUGGGCACGCGCAAGAUUAGAUAGUUGGUGAGGUAACGGCUCACCAAGUCUACGAUCUUUAGGGGGCCUGAGAGGGUGAUCCCCCACACUGGUACUGAGACACGGACCAGACUCCUACGGGAGGCAGCAGUGAGGAAUAUUGGACAAUGGGUGCAAGCCUGAUCCAGCCAUCCCGCGUGAAGGAUUAAGGUCCUAUGGAUUGUAAACUUCUUUUAUACAGGGAUAAACCUACUUACGUGUAAGUAGCUGAAGGUACUGUAUGAAUAAGCACCGGCUAACUCC